GCCUCUGAGGAUGAUCAAACUAAUAACUUUCGUUCUUCUGAAUUAACCGUUGUGGAAAAAUAUUGGAGACCUGAACUGAAGAGGC
Molecule: small nucleolar RNA, 85 nt
Organism: Cannabis sativa
Lineage: Eukaryota; Viridiplantae; Streptophyta; Magnoliopsida; Rosales; Cannabaceae
Product: small nucleolar RNA Z159/U59
Exons: 1
Source: RefSeq, a predicted model, not a curated record